AAAACAGCUUCUAAGAGGCCUCUUACUAUCUACGGCAUAUCCUAUCAAAGCUCACAGGACAGCAAAUUUGGCCAAUGCUUAUGUGACAGUGGCUCGUAGAACAUGCAGCUUUUCUGUUGAAUUGGCACUACAUCUCUGGUAGCCCCUUUAAUGUCUGGAGGCCAAAUCAACAGCACAGGCGUUCCAACUUGACAAGUUGACAGCGCCAGAGCCACAGACACGGACAAAAGGCACACACAAGGCAGGGCGAACUGUAACUUGCUGAACUGAUGUUCCAACUUCGCACUCGGGCGGGAUCAUGUUCGGGAGAGGCCAGGUGGGUCAAGGUGCCGUUCAGCGUCAAACAGCGGAGGCUGCCAUCUUGUGGAACUCAGUUGCCGGACCCGGAAACCCGAAGCUCGCCCGUUACGGCGGCACAAGACGCUAUACUGUUGUAUUUUUAUCAUAUUUGCUUAAACAAACGAAUCUAUUGAAAGAUGAUGAAGUA
Molecule: long non-coding RNA, 487 nt
Organism: Ornithodoros turicata
Lineage: Eukaryota; Metazoa; Arthropoda; Arachnida; Ixodida; Argasidae
Exons: 3
Source: RefSeq, a predicted model, not a curated record